AUGGAUUACACAAUGUCAAAGAUGUGAAGCCUCAGAUAUCUCUUCUAUCAAUCUGUGGUUCACAAGUCGAUAAAAAUCAAAUCUGUAUCUUUUCAUGUCUAUUAUGAGUGAAAAAAAAAAAAAAGAAAAUAUCAAUAGUUAUCUCUUUGAAUGAGUUGCUGCAGCCCUAAUAAAGCGAUGAGUCAACAGCUCGUUGUCUCUUGCUCAAACUGUUCUCUGGGCAUCAAUGGUUUUGAACUCUUAGACAAUUUGCGAUGAUCCUUUUUCUCUUCUCGUGC
This 278-nucleotide unclassified non-coding RNA is filed under the name Hevea brasiliensis (rubber tree). Lineage: Eukaryota; Viridiplantae; Streptophyta; Magnoliopsida; Malpighiales; Euphorbiaceae. The record is from RNAcentral.